This 261-nucleotide ribosomal RNA is filed under the name uncultured archaeon. RNAcentral's name for it is "partial 16S ribosomal RNA". It matches the Rfam family "Archaeal small subunit ribosomal RNA", at positions 748 to 1008 of the family's 1478-position model. The record is from RNAcentral.
AGGGUGUAAACGCUGCAGACUUGGUGUUGGAGGCCCUUUGGGGGCAUUCAGUGCCGGAGAGAAGUUGUUAAGUCUGCUACUUGGGGAGUACGUCCGCAAGGAUGAAACUUAAAGGAAUUGGCGGGGGAGCACCGCAACGGGAGGAGCGUGCGGUUUAAUUGGAUUCAACACCGUAAAACUCACCAGGGAAGACUGUUACAUGAAGGCCGAGAUGAAGACUCUGCUAGAUUUUCAGAGAGGAGGUGCAUGGCGUCAGUGACU